GUGUAGAGUACAGUUGCGAUUUACGUGGUCCUCACCGAGAUAGCUAAACUCAGAGCUUUAUUUCGCAUCUCAUAGAUCUAUAUAGAAGCAAACCUCACUACCUGACGCUUUGGUGUUAUUAUCAGAGUGCGAAAAUAGAGAGAUUAAUGGAGAACGGAGGAGAAACCAAAGAAUGGAGGUUCAAAGGGAACCAAACUCUAACUACAGCAUCUGGCUUUACUGUAAGAGGUGUUCUGAAUAUGUUAAUGGAGAAUCUCAACCCUGAUGAUCAACGCCAAGUUCUUCGGCUCGGCCACGGCGAUCCGUCCAGUUUUCCUUGCUUCUACACUUCUCCUGCAGCCGAGGACGCUAUCGUCGACGCUCUCCGUUCCCGUCAGUUUAACUGUUAUAGCUCCACCGUCGGUAUUCUUCCCGCUCGCAAGGCUGUAGCAGAAUAUCUCUCUCGUCAUCUUCCAUAUACGUUAACUCCUGAUGAUGUAUUCCUCACAAUUGGUUGCACGCAUGCAAUCGAAGUAGCACUUUCAGUCCUAACUUAUCCAGGAGCAAAUAUAUUGUUACCUUGCCCGGGUUUCCCGUACUAUGAGGCAUUCUCUGCGUACAUUGGACUUCAACAUCGUCAUUUUAGUCUUCUCCCAGAAAAGGGGUGGGAAGUUGAUCUUGAUGCAGUUGAGGCUCUAGCUGAUGAGAAUACUGUGGCCAUGGUUCUUAUAAACCCUGGAAACCCAUGUGGGAAUGUUUUUACUUAUAAGCAUUUGCAAAAGGUGGCAGAAACUGCAAAAAAGCUUGGGAUUCUUGUGAUUGCUGAUGAAGUUUAUGAACACCUUACAUUUGGAAAGAAUCCAUUUGUUCCAAUGGGUGCUUUUGGAAAUAUUACUCCCAUUAUUACACUUGGUUCUAUAUCAAAGCGAUGGAUAGUUCCUGGGUGGCGUCUUGGUUGGCUUGUCACAACUGACAAUCAAGGCAUCUUACAAAAAUCGGGGCUUGUGGAGAGCAUUAAGAGCUUCCUCAACAUCUCUUCUGAUCCUGCAACCUUCAUUCAGGGUGCACUUCCUCAAAUCAUCGAGAAAACGAAUGAGGAUUUCUUUUCGAAAAUCAUAAAUACACUAUGCCUAGAUGCAAACCUUUGUUACGAGAAAUUGAAGGAGAUUCCAUGUAUUACAUGUCCAAGUAAGCCAGAAGGUUCCAUGUUUGUAAUGGCAAAGCUCGAUUUGUCUCUGUUAAGUGAUAUACAAGAUGAUCUUGAUUUUUGCUUAAAACUUGCGAAAGAGGAGAAUAUGGCCAUUUUACCAGUGAUAACCAAUCAGAGUCAAAUUGGAUUGAGACAACAAUCUAUGAUGUCUAGGAUGAGUGUUGCUACAACCCAUGUGACUGAGAAAGUAGCCCAUGUGAUUUCGACUGGUGAAGUGGUAGUGAAACAUAGACCUCAAUUCCUCAACAUGAAAUAGAAACUGAGGUUCAUCACAAAUAAAUGGUCAGAGGUGGCAAGAAGAUGACUACUAAAGGUGUGGCUGUAGGCAUGAAAAAUUGGUUGCGCAUUACGUUUGCGUUGGAACCGUUGGCUCUUGAAGAAGGGCUUGAAAGAUUGAAAGCAUUUUGCCAAAGGCAUGCAGAACAAGCAUAAUAUUAGAGUAUUAUU
RNA transcript from Beta vulgaris subsp. vulgaris (sugar beet), 1636 nucleotides. It is a transcript of the gene named probable aminotransferase TAT2, with no coding region annotated. Lineage: Eukaryota; Viridiplantae; Streptophyta; Magnoliopsida; Caryophyllales; Amaranthaceae. The record is from RefSeq and is a predicted model, not a curated record. The transcript is spliced from 8 exons.